This 390-nucleotide ribosomal RNA is filed under the name uncultured Anaerolineaceae bacterium. Its description in RNAcentral is "bacterial SSU rRNA". It matches the Rfam family "Bacterial small subunit ribosomal RNA", at positions 980 to 1382 of the family's 1533-position model. Lineage: Bacteria; Bacillati; Chloroflexota; Anaerolineae; Anaerolineales; Anaerolineaceae. The record is from RNAcentral.
CUUGACAUGCAGGUAGUAGGGAACCGAGAGGGGACCGACUCUUCGGAGAGCCUGCACAGGUGCUGCAUGGCUGUCGUCAGCUCGUGCCGUGAGGUGUCCCGGUUAAAGUCCGGUAACGAGCGCAACCCUGCCAUAUGCUACAAGUGUCACACGGAACUGCCGGUCAUAAACCGGAGAAGGUGGGAUGACGUCAAGUCAGCAUGGCCUUUAUAUCCUGGGCUACACACACGCUACAAUGGGAAGGGACAAUAGGUUGCGAAGCCGCGAGGCGGAGCCAAUCCAGCAAAACUUCCCUCAGUUCAGAUUGCAGGCUGCAACUCGCCUGCAUGAAGUUGGAGUUGCUAGUAAACGCAGGUCAGCCAUACUGCGUUGAAUACGUUCCCGGGGCUU